Triticum aestivum (bread wheat) is the source of this 320-nucleotide long non-coding RNA. RefSeq lists it as uncharacterized. The record is from RefSeq and is a predicted model, not a curated record. The transcript is spliced from 3 exons. Lineage: Eukaryota; Viridiplantae; Streptophyta; Magnoliopsida; Poales; Poaceae.
CAGCAGCUAUUUACUUGAUAGAUGAUGUCUCUUAUACAUAUGUCUAGGAUGACAAUCACAUGAUAACCAAAUUUUGUUUUAGUCAGCAGCCAAGGAGUGUUAUUGACAGAGAAUCAAUUGCGACGCAAAUUUAGUAAUGUGCCUGGUGGCUUUGCCCAGGUCUAUCCUGUUUCCAUGGCAAAGGAGAUGAUGCCCUUUGUGGAAACCGCUGACGCACGUGUUGCUCUCCAGAGAUUGCGAAGGCGACCAGUGGUUCUAGUGCUAAAGGGUUGCAACCAAACCUUUCAGAAAUGAUAUAUAGAUUCUAGAACGGACCGAGG